CCUGUUUCCCAUCGACUACGCCUUUCGGCCUCGCCUUAGGGGUCGACUCACCCUGCCCCGAUUAACGUUGGACAGGAACCCUUGGUCUUCCGGCGAGCGGGCUUUUCACCCGCUUUAUCGUUACUUAUGUCAGCAUUCGCACUUCUGAUACCUCCAGCAUACCUCACAGUACACCUUCACAGGCUUACAGAACGCUCCCCUACCCAACAACGCAUAGCGUCGCUGCCGCAGCUUCGGUGCAUGGUUUAGCCCCGUUACAUCUUCCGCGCAGGCCGACUCGACCAGUGAGCUAUUACGCUUUCUUUAAAUGAUGGCUGCUUCUAAGCCAAC
This 330-nucleotide ribosomal RNA is filed under the name Escherichia coli 1-110-08_S1_C2. RNAcentral describes it as "partial 16S ribosomal RNA". Lineage: Bacteria; Pseudomonadati; Pseudomonadota; Gammaproteobacteria; Enterobacterales; Enterobacteriaceae. The record is from RNAcentral.